ACUGGGUUGCCCUAGUAACGGCGAGUGAAGCGGCAAUAGCUCAAAUUUGAAAUCUGGGUCCUUUUAGGGCUCCGAGUUGUAAUUUGCAGAGGGUGCUUUGGCGUAGGUAGCGGUCUAAGUUCCUUGGAACAGGACAUCGCAGAGGGUGAGAAUCCCGUUUGUGGUCGCAUGCCUUCGCCGUGUAAAGCCCCUUCGACGAGUCGAGUUGUUUGGGAAUGCAGCUCUAAAUGGGAGGUAAAUUUCUUCUAAAGCUAAAUACUGGCCAGAGACCGAUAGCGCACAAGUAGAGUGAUCGAAAGAUGAAAAGCACUUUGGAAAGAGAGUCAAACAGCACGUGAAAUUGUUGAAAGGGAAGCGCUUGCAGCCAGACUUGCCCGUAGUUGCUCACCUAGGCUUUUGCCUGGGGCAUUCUUCUGCGGGCAGGCCAGCAUCAGUUUGGGCGGUCGGAUAAAGGUCUCUGUCAUGUAGCUUCCUUCGGGAAGAACUUAUAGGGGAGGCGAAAUGCGACCAGCCCGGACUGAGGUCCGCGCUUCGGCUAGGAUGCUGGCGUAAUGGCUGUAAGCGGCCCGUCUUGAAACACGGACCAAGGAGUCUAACAUCUAUGCGAGUGUUUGGGUGUCAAGCCCGAGCGCGUAAUGAAAGUGAACGGAGGUGGGAACCCUUUGGGUGCACCAUCGACCGAUCCUGAUGUCUUCGGAUGGAUUUGAGUAAGAGCAUAGCUGUUGGGACCCGAAAGAUGGUGAACUAUGCUUGAAUAGGGUGAAGCCAGAGGAAACUCUGGUGGAGGCUCGCAGCGGUUCUGACGUGCAAAUCGAUCGUCAAAUUUGGGCAUAGGGGCGAAAGACUAAUCGA
Molecule: ribosomal RNA, 852 nt
Filed under: Stagonospora perfecta
Lineage: Eukaryota; Fungi; Ascomycota; Dothideomycetes; Pleosporales; Massarinaceae
Description: LSU rRNA
Rfam family: Eukaryotic large subunit ribosomal RNA
Source: RNAcentral